Molecule: ribosomal RNA, 481 nt
Filed under: uncultured Clostridia bacterium
Lineage: Bacteria; Bacillati; Bacillota; Clostridia
Description: bacterial SSU rRNA
Rfam family: Bacterial small subunit ribosomal RNA
Source: RNAcentral
GAGUUUGAUCAUGGCUCAGGGUAAACGCUGGCGGCGUGCCUAAAACAUGCAAGUCGAACGCACAUCCUUGUGGUGUGAGUGGCAGACGGCUGAGUAACACGUGGGUGACGUACCUAUUGGUGGGGAAUAACUGCCCGAAAGGGUGGCUAAUACCGCAUACGCCUGUUCGUUCAGUUCGGACAGGGAAAGUCGCAAGAUGCCGAUGGAGCGGCCCGCGACCGAUUAGCCAGUUGGUGGGGUAACGGCCUACCAAAGCGACGAUCGGUAGCUGGUCUCAGAGGAUGAUCAGCCAGACUGGGACUGAGACACGGCCCAGACUCCUACGGGAGGCAGCAGUUAGGAAUUUUGGGCAAUGGGCGCAAGCCUGACCCAGCAACGCCGCGUGGGUGACGAAGGCUUCGGUUGUAAGCCUUUCUGAGGAAGAUGAUGACGGUACUCCAGGAAGAAGCACCGGCUAACUACGUGCCAGCAGCCGCGGAAU